GCCAGGGUAGCUCAGCUGGUUAGAGCACAGCACUCAUAACGCUGGUGUCGCGGGUUCGAAUCCCGCCCCUGGCACCA
Molecule: transfer RNA, 77 nt
Filed under: Candidatus Berkelbacteria bacterium
Lineage: Bacteria; Candidatus Berkelbacteria
Description: tRNA-Met
Rfam family: tRNA
About the family: Transfer RNA (tRNA) molecules are approximately 80 nucleotides in length. Their secondary structure includes four short double-helical elements and three loops (D, anti-codon, and T loops).
Source: RNAcentral